This 446-nucleotide ribosomal RNA is filed under the name uncultured bacterium. RNAcentral describes it as "partial 16S ribosomal RNA". It matches the Rfam family "Bacterial small subunit ribosomal RNA", at positions 338 to 795 of the family's 1533-position model. The record is from RNAcentral.
CCUACGGGCGGCAGCAGUCGAGAAUCAUUCACAAUGGGGGAAACCCUGAUGGUGCGACGCCGCGUGGGGGAAUGAAGGUCUUCGGAUUGUAAACCCCUGUCAUGUGGGAGCAAAUUAAAAAGAUAGUACCACAAGAGGAAGCGACGGCUAACUCUGUGCCAGCAGCCGCGGUAAUACAGAGGUCUCAAGCGUUGUUCGGAAUCACUGGGCGUAAGGCGUGCGUAGGCUGUUUCGUAAGUCGUGUGUGAAAGGCGCGGGCUCAACCCGCGGACGGCAAAUGAGACUGCGAGACUAGAGUAAUGGAGGGGGAACCGGAAUUCUCGGUGUAGCAGUGAAAUGCGUAGAUAUCGAGAGGAACACUCGUGGCGAAGGCGGGUUCCUGGACAUUAACUGACGCUGAGGCACGAAGGCCAGGGGAGCGAAAGGGAUUAGAUACCCCAGUAGUC